UCCCUCAUAGCUCAGUUGGAAAAGAAUCUGCCUGUAAUGCAGGAGAUCAGGGUUCGAUUCCUUGGUAAGGAA
Molecule: transfer RNA, 72 nt
Filed under: Bos taurus (domestic cattle)
Lineage: Eukaryota; Metazoa; Chordata; Mammalia; Artiodactyla; Bovidae
Also listed under: 3 other names
Rfam family: tRNA
About the family: Transfer RNA (tRNA) molecules are approximately 80 nucleotides in length. Their secondary structure includes four short double-helical elements and three loops (D, anti-codon, and T loops).
Source: Rfam by way of RNAcentral